This 77-nucleotide non-coding RNA is filed under the name Candidatus Frackibacter sp. WG11. RNAcentral also lists the same sequence under 2 other names. The record is from RNAcentral. Lineage: Bacteria; Bacillati; Bacillota; Clostridia; Halanaerobiales; Halobacteroidaceae.
UUGAGCCGUAUGAGUUGAAAGGCUCAAGUACGGUUCUGAUGGGGGAAAGGAACCGAAAGGUUCCCGACCUACCAGAC